UACAGAGGUCUCAAGCGUUGUUCGGAUUCAUUGGGCGUAAAGCGUGCGCAGGCGGUUUCGUAAGUCUGUCGUGAAAGCCCCGGGCUCAACCUGGGAAUGGCGAUGGAGACUGCGAGGCUAGAGUGUGUCAGAGGGGGGUAGAAUUCCACGUGUAGCAGUGAAAUGCGUAGAUAUGUGGAGGAACACCGAUGGCGAAGGCAGCCCCCUGGGAUAACACUGACGCUCAUGCACGAAAGCGUGGGGAGCAAACAGG
Molecule: ribosomal RNA, 253 nt
Filed under: uncultured bacterium
Lineage: Bacteria
Description: partial 16S ribosomal RNA
Rfam family: Bacterial small subunit ribosomal RNA
Source: RNAcentral